Long non-coding RNA from Triticum aestivum (bread wheat), 4676 nucleotides. RefSeq lists it as uncharacterized. The record is from RefSeq and is a predicted model, not a curated record. The transcript has 4 exons. NCBI's taxonomy places the organism in Eukaryota, Viridiplantae, Streptophyta, Magnoliopsida, Poales, Poaceae.
GAGAUUCCAAAGUCUGCCAGUUUACAAACAAAGCUAUUGUCAAGAAGGACAUUGUCAGGCUUCAGAUCGCCAUGGGCAAUGCCUUUUGGUUUGUUAGAGUGGAGGAAGAUAAGUCCCGUGCAGAUGUCGGCAGCUAUUCUGAUGCGCAUUCGCCAUGAGAGCGGCUCUCUUUGGUUCUCGCACUGCAGACAGUCCUCUAGGCUUCCAUUCGACAGGAAUUCGAAGACCAACGCUUUGGCCUCCCUGCACACUCCUAUCAGAGUGACAAGCUCUGCUUGCAACUGUUGGAGCUCUUCCAUUAGGGUGUUUGUCUGAAGAAGCUUGCUCUCCAAUUCUGCUCUUUGCUCAUUUGCCUUCUGCAGCUCGUUGCAUACAUGGAUGUGCUCUUUUUCAAGGUCAGCCUUUUCUCUUGUUAGCCUUUCCUCUACCUCCUUUUUUUCGUUGCGGAGUGAACUCUCCCGUGCUUUGAACUGCAAGAAAACAGUUCGCUUACUUGAGAGAUACAUGUAAUAUAAAUUCCAUGCAUUCAGAGAAGAAAGGUUGGGAAAAUACAGUAGAUUAAACAACAAUAGUGGGUAACUAAAGGUAUCUGUCAAUAACAAAUAACAUACCAUCAUAGAAGAUUCAAACAGGUUCUUCUCGGCUUUCUGCCGGCCCUCAGAUGCUUCCUUUUUCGAGCGCUCUAGCUGAUUGCGGACUCGGUGCAGUUGCUCAAACAUUUCACGUAUUUCCACCUGUAAAACAUUAUGUUUGCUUUGAAUUCAGUAAGCAUGACAACGUUAUCUAAUAAGUAUUACAACUGAGACCUUGGUUGAUCAAUCAAAAUUUAGAUGAUAGAGCAAUAGCAGUAAGAUUUUAUUUAACAAAGUGGAUUUUUUCCAGUAGAGAUACUACUGGUUGAGAGUUACUACAGCCAUGUAGACAUUCUAUUGUCAACCUUUUUCCUCUACACUUGUGCUAGGACCAAAGCCUCUUUAAACGUAGUUCUAACAUUACAUAGUACUGGGUUUAUGUUUAAUAGGUUUGUUUGUUUAAAUAAUGGAGGGAUAGUUCUCCAGACCUCUGCACCCAUAGGGUACACACAGCCGUAAAAUUAUUGUAAUUCAAAAAAAAAAAAGGGUGCGGCUAUGCUUAGAGAACUCAGCUCAGUCCAAUAUAGCUUACUGUAGAGUGCUGAUGUUCUUCAGAGCUUGCAACUGAAACAGGCACUGGUGAACCAUCCAUGCUGUCCAAAUCCCUCAGACCCAAUGAGGACCCACCAGUACUUUGCUGGCUGGAACUCGGAGAGGAAUCUGUUGGUGUCAUAUCAAUCGACUGCCGCCUUGCAGGUGACAUGAUUUCUACACUGCCCGCUAUCGAUCCAGACAAGGAAUAACUAACUGAGUUGGACCGCCGUGGCAGGGGCUGUUGAUCUGUAGAGCCUAACAGACUAUCAAUUGACUGCCGCCUUGCAGCUGACAUGUUUUCUACACUGUCUGCUAUCAAUCCGGACAAGGGAUAACUGACUGAGUUGGACCGUCGUGGAAGGGGUUGUUGGCCUGUAGAGGCUAAGAGACCUGGAUGCCCUGGUGGCAGUGAUAGGGAUCUUGGAGUUAACUCAGGUUGAUCUGAGAUAGUGCUUGCGAAGCUACUUCGGGGUGACUCUACUUUUGCACAAAGCUCAGUGGCCUCCCUGAAAAAUAAUAAGAAACAUGGCACCAUUUUAUUUGUCAGGAUAGAUAUAAUUUUGAGUAGUUGCUCGAGCUGAAAUUUGCAAAUUCGGUGUAGUAUUUGCUUUAUGUUGACUUAGGGAUGCAUGACACUCAUACCUAGAGCAACCAAGAGCCUCUUUGCAAAUAUAGAAGAUCUGGCAAUAUGGUUUGGCCUGCAGAUGCACACUGGCUGCAACUUUUGAUUUUGGUACUUUCCUCUUCCUGUUCAUGGAAGAUUCAUAAUCAACAUAAACAACUUGGAUUAUUUCUACUUUAGACUUUAGACAGAGGGAGAGAUGAUAACUAGUAAAGGCAUAGUUAUUUGUUAUUGGGAGUUUUAAGUGAAGUAUAGACAAAAUGGUUCUGCCCCCUUCCUUAUCGCCACUUGUUAGAACAGCGGACGCAUAAAAGAGAAAUAAGAAAUUUACAUAUACAGGAUUCGAGCGUCUAACUACAUAACUCAUGGUGCUGUGCUCUAUGGAAACAGUGCAGUUGGAAAUAAUUGCAAUGUAUUUUUUCAUGAAACCUUAUUACAAAGUUGGAACAUUGCAUCUGCACAUACACUGAGAAGGAAGAUGUUCCCAUAACAAGCUUUGUAAUGCGAUUUUGAUCAAUGAGCUCGAUAAUCCCAUUUGCAGGACUGUUCUUCUCGAUCACCAGCGUUUCAGCUUGCAUCUGUAAAUUUGCUACUCUUAAUUUCGUACAGAUGAUAUAUGAUUUCAGAAUCCAUGUAGCCUUUCCUGAAUUAGUCAACUGACCUUGAGAGAAACUCUGCAGAAAUUGAGGUACUGGUUUAAAAGUGUGUUCAUCUCCUCCUUCUCAAUCUUUCUGUAUGCUUUGAGCUCCUUUUCUUCGACCUGGCUUGCUGGAACCUUGCAUAAUCCUGCGCCGGCAACAUUAGAGCCGAAUCAGCAUAGAUUACUGAACAAGUAUUUGCAAUGCCUACUGAAAACAGGGGAGUGCUUUCUGAAACUGUCUGACAGCAACAUCGAACAACAGAAGGCUACUUCUGCUUGCUGCUAAUUUCAUUUGUAUCAUUUCAGCAGAUUCUCUUGUGAAACAGGGGGUGGAAAAGAAAAUGGAGAUGGGGAUCAAAUCCAGCAAGAUCAAGGCUGGUGGACGUGCAGCAGGACAAGCUUGGGAUCACCGGCGAGGAGGUUCCGAGCUGCCCAGACGAGGUUGGACCUGCCGUCCUUGACGUCCUUCCCGACGGCGACAUACAGCUUCCCUACGCCGUCAUCAUCAUAAGCAUCGUGCAAGAUGGCGGCCUCUUCGUCGAUCUCUCUGAGGCUGGCGCUCCUGUUGGCCCCGCUGGCACUGGACGACGACGACCGGCCGCUCCCUCCACGUGUGAACAUCCUCUCCGCCACCUCGGGCUGCGGCGACCGAGGGGAGAAGGCUGUCAAUGGCGACGAUGACGGCGAAGGGAGGGAAGCACGGGCUCUGCUGACCACGGCCAUGUGGAACCACCAACAGUUAGCCACCACCAGAGAAGAACCAGCUAGCUAGCAACCUCUCAGAGUGCAGCGAAGAGGAGUGAAAAAAGUGCAUAUGCUAUCUAGCUACCACGAGAGAAAGCGGCAAGCAAUCUCCCAAGAGAAGAGGAAACAAAAGUGAAAAGGUGCAUACCCUUGGCCUUAGAGUUUUGUUGCUGGUGUUGGCAGCCAAGGCGACAAGGCGGAUAGGAGCAAGGAGGAGCAAACAAAUGGCCGCUUUCUCUUGCUCUCUCAGCCCGGGGGUCAAUUUUUCUGUGAAUGCGAUUCAGAAACAAACAAGAAGUUGGCCCCAGAGCUUCGAGGUCGUUCUCCAACCGGGGAAUUCAGUCCACGUCCAUCGUAGAUGUCAUUCAGAAUUUCCGGCGGAGAAGAUAUCGCCCCUUCAACGUGAGGCCGGAGAUCGGCGACAGCUGCUUCUGAGAAGCUUCCUGGUCUGCUACCCACGGGCCAUCUCUUUCAGUAGCUCUGGUACCUCCUUCAGUCAACAGAGAGCAAUCAAUGGCAGGGAAUGCAUGGCAGGCUUGCUCUUGCACAGCUGGCCAGCUGGAAUAUGCCAGCGGUAUCUUUGUGCCCGGUCAACGGUCAACGUACCGGCUUCUCAUCUUUGGAAUAAUGAUCCCAGCCAGUGAUCUCAAGACUCUGCUGGGCGAGAUGGGGUCAACGUUUCCGGUCGGUCAGCUCAGCUGUAACCUUAACUGCUGCUAACCAGAAAUGCAAUGCAAUGCAAUGACCUUGGGCCUGACUAGCAAGCAACAAUGCUCCUGAACUGAUUACAUAAUGUGUUCUUGAGAUGGUGGACGGAAUGGAAUCGGGAUCGGAAGAAUAUCCGUGAACACGGGGCAAUUGAUCAGUGGCAAGAAAUUCAUGGUUAGUUCUUGCACAGCUAGCUAGAUGGAGACUUGGAAUGUACUCUCUGUACCUUGCUGCAUGUUGGUCAUGGUCCUUGGCUUUCAGAUGGAUGGGGUGAUCCAAGACUGAACUUUGAAGGCUUGCUGACCCAGACCAGGUCACACACGCCCUGCUGCAAGCCAUUUAAUACCUUAAGUCCUUAACUAUUGGUACGUACUAAUCAGGACUGCAAUGGUACGACUUGUAAUGUACGUAUGUAUGCGUGUACUUAGCAAAUAAGUGAAAUGUUUGAUUGCAUAUCUUGGCCAGAUGUUGGAGACGAAAAAAAACGAGGUUUCUCUUUUUAAUUUAAUUAAUUUGUGUUGAUGCAAGCACAAACACAUUUCUCUUCUCUACCUGCACAAAAAUGUUUUGCUUCUGUUUGCAAUGCAUGGUGUGGCAAAUACUCCCUCCGUUCCUAAAUAUAAGUCUUUGGAGAGAUUUCACUAUGGACCACAUACGAAGCAAAAUAAGUGAAUCUAUACUCUAAAAUGCAUCUAUAUACAUCCGUAUGUGGUUCGUAGUCAAAUCUCUACAAAAACUUAUAUUUAGGAAAGGAGGGAGUACUUUUCUGUGAAUUUUUUUUUUUGAAUAAAAGAAG